GUUGAGGUCUAUCCCUAUGGGGCUUUUUCUAUAAACCUAUAUCAUUGGAAGCACUUCAUAGAGUAACUAUGUGGUUUCCUUUACUCAUAGAACUAUGUGUUAGAUCCGUGGGAAAGAACUACAAGACAGAG
Small nucleolar RNA from Balaenoptera musculus (blue whale), 131 nucleotides. Lineage: Eukaryota; Metazoa; Chordata; Mammalia; Artiodactyla; Balaenopteridae. The record is from Ensembl.